Molecule: ribosomal RNA, 449 nt
Filed under: uncultured bacterium
Lineage: Bacteria
Description: bacterial SSU rRNA
Rfam family: Bacterial small subunit ribosomal RNA
Source: RNAcentral
GUAGACUCCUACGGGAGGCAGCAGUGGGGAAACUUUAGAACAAUGGGCGCAAGCCUGAUCUAGCCAUGCCGCGUGAGUGAUGAAGGGCCCUAAGGGUCGUAAAGCUCUUUCGCCUGUGAUGAUAAUGACAGUAGCAGGUAAAGAAACCCCGGCUAACUCCGUGCCAGCAGCCGCGGUAAUACGGAGGGGGUUAGCGUUGUUCGGAAUUACUGGGCGUAAAGCGCACGUAGGCGGAUCAGAAAGUUGGGGGUGAAAUCCCGGGGCUCAACCCCGGAACUGCCUCCAAAACUCCUGGUCUUGAGUUCGAGAGAGGUGAGUGGAAUUCCGAGUGUAGAGGUGAAAUUCGUAGAUAUUCGGAGGAACACCAGUGGCGAAGGCGGCUCACUGGCUCGAUACUGACGCUGAGGUGCGAAAGUGUGGGGAGCAAACAGGAUUAGAUACCCUGGUAG